GACGAACGCUGGCGGCGUGCCUAAUACAUGCCAGUAGAACGCACAGUUUAUACCGUAGCUUGCUACACCAUAAACUGUGAGUUGCGAACGGGUGAGUAACGCGUAGGUAACCUGCCUGGUAGCGGGGGAUAACUAUUGGAAACGAUAGCUAAUACCGCAUAAUAUUGAUUAUUGCAUGAUAAUUGAUUGAAAGAUGCUAUUGCAUCACUACCAGAUGGACCUGCGUUGUAUUAGCUAGUAGGUGAGGUAACGGCUCACCUAGGCGACGAUACAUAGCCGACCUGAGAGGGUGAUCGGCCACACUGGGACUGAGACACGGCCCAGACUCCUACGGGAGGCAGCAGUAGGGAAUCUUCGGCAAUGGACGAAAGUCUGACCGAGCAACGCCGCGGGAGUGAAGAAGGUUUUCGGAUCGUAAAGCUCUGUUGUAAGAGAAGAACGGGUGUGAGAGUGGAAAGUUCACACUGUGACGGUAUCUUACCAGAAAGGGACGGCUAACUACGUG
RNAcentral lists this ribosomal RNA (505 nucleotides) under uncultured bacterium. Its description in RNAcentral is "partial 16S ribosomal RNA". It matches the Rfam family "Bacterial small subunit ribosomal RNA", at positions 28 to 507 of the family's 1533-position model. The record is from RNAcentral.